GGGACACGUGGUAUCCUGUCUGAAUAUGGGGGGACCAUCCUCCAAGGCUAAAUACUCCUGACUGACCGAUAGUGAACCAGUACCGUGAGGGAAAGGCGAAAAGAACCCCGGCGAGGGGAGUGAAAAAGAACCUGAAACCGUGUACGUACAAGCAGUGGGAGCACCUUCGGGUGUGACUGCGUACCUUUUGUAUAAUGGGUCAGCGACUUAUAUUCUGUAGCAAGGUUAACCGUAUAGGGGAGCCGCAGGGAAACCGAGUCUUAACUGGGCGUUAAGUUGCAGGGUAUAGACCCGAAACCCGGUGAUCUAGCCAUGGGCAGGUUGAAGGUUGGGUAACACUAACUGGAGGACCGAACCGACUAAUGUUGAAAAAUUAGCGGAUGACUUGUGGCUGGGGGUGAAAGGCCAAUCAAACCGGGAGAUAGCUGGUUCUCCCCGAAAGCUAUUUAGGUAGCGCCUCGUGAACUCAUCUUCGGGGGUAGAGCACUGUUUCGGCUAGGGGGUCAUCCCGACUUACCAACCCGAUGCAAACUACGAAUACCGAAGAAUGUUAUCACGGGAGACACACGGCGGGUGCUAACGUCCGUCGUGAAGAGGGAAACAACCCAGACCGCCAGCUAAGGUCCCAAAGUCAUGGUUAAGUGGGAAACGAUGUGGGAAGGCACAGACAGCCAGGAUGUUGGCUUAGAAGCAGCCAUCAUUUAAAGAAAGCGUAAUAGCUCACUGGUCGAGUCGGCCUGCGCGGAAGAUGUAACGGGGCUAAACCAUGCACC
RNAcentral lists this ribosomal RNA (773 nucleotides) under Klebsiella pneumoniae. RNAcentral's name for it is "partial 23S ribosomal RNA". It matches the Rfam family "Bacterial large subunit ribosomal RNA", at positions 419 to 1195 of the family's 2925-position model. RNAcentral also lists the same sequence under 1 other name. Lineage: Bacteria; Pseudomonadati; Pseudomonadota; Gammaproteobacteria; Enterobacterales; Enterobacteriaceae. The record is from RNAcentral.